GCCCCAGUGGUGGAAUUGGUAGACACGCGUGACUCAAAAUCACGUGCCGAAAGGCGUGCUGGUUCAAAUCCGGCCUGGGGCACCA
This 85-nucleotide transfer RNA is filed under the name Amphiplicatus metriothermophilus. Its description in RNAcentral is "tRNA-Leu". It matches the Rfam family "tRNA". Rfam says of the family: Transfer RNA (tRNA) molecules are approximately 80 nucleotides in length. Lineage: Bacteria; Pseudomonadati; Pseudomonadota; Alphaproteobacteria; Parvularculales; Parvularculaceae. The record is from RNAcentral.